RNAcentral lists this ribosomal RNA (231 nucleotides) under uncultured Alicycliphilus sp. Its description in RNAcentral is "partial 16S ribosomal RNA". It matches the Rfam family "Bacterial small subunit ribosomal RNA", at positions 548 to 774 of the family's 1533-position model. The record is from RNAcentral. Lineage: Bacteria; Pseudomonadati; Pseudomonadota; Betaproteobacteria; Burkholderiales; Comamonadaceae.
AGAGAUGCACUGGGUGUAAAGCGUGCGCAGGCGGUUUUGUUAAGACAGAGGUGAAAUCCCCGGGCUCAACCUGGGAACUGCCUUUGUGACUGCAAGGCUGGAGUGCGGCAGAGGGGGAUGGAAUUCCGCGUGUAGCAGUGAAAUGCGUAGAUAUGCGGAGGAACACCGAUGGCGGAGGCAAUCCCCUGGGCCUGCACUGACGCUCAUGCACGAAAGCGUGGGGAGCAAACA